Agelaius phoeniceus (red-winged blackbird) is the source of this 2291-nucleotide long non-coding RNA. RefSeq lists it as uncharacterized. Lineage: Eukaryota; Metazoa; Chordata; Aves; Passeriformes; Icteridae. The record is from RefSeq and is a predicted model, not a curated record.
GCAGCAGGUCUGAUGAGAGGUGGGAUCUUUGUGAAAGUGAUUGUACAGUCAGGAGAGCCAACCAAACUACAAGCCUGGAAUCCUCUCUCUGCUCUAAGACAGCUGUUUAAAUAUAGUAGGCAACCAGCAGCAAGGGAGGAGAGGAGGAGCCAAAAGGACUGGAGGUGGAGCAAGGAAAAUACCAAUAAGCAUGAGUCAGCAGGAAUAUUUCCCUUCCCAGCUCCUGAAUGAAUGUAGAGAAACUUCCUUAGUAAUGUUCAGCUGACUAAUGUGACUACAGCAGAAGCAGGAUUGCAGGAACCAUGCCUGUCAGAAGUCCUGCACUGAACAAAUUUUCCAUUUUUAACCCUCAGGACAACACAGAUAUAUAGUGGGUCUGAAAAGAUUGAUGUCAGUUUGUGUUUCUUUUUCUUCAGUGAGAUAAAGUGUUAUAAGCCUUUUGAACAGUAGCAGUAAAAUGAGUCAAACUGCUUGCAUAAAACUCAGAACCUACCAGGGGUUUCAUCCAAGGUAUCUUACUCAAUUCAGGGAAUAAUUGAUCUGACUUGCUAAAUUUAAAAUGCCCUUCACAAAUUAAAUACCUUUAUCCCAAAGUGUUCAGUUCAAGUAGUAAAUGAAGCACAUGUUUAUCUCUGAGGCCAUCUGUUUGGAAAUCACAAUUUCCAGGAAAUAGGACUGCUGAUACACAGUUAAAGUGCAUGCUUUCAUUCAUGUGAUCUAAAAGAUAAAAGCAGUUCUUGAGAAGGAUUUCUCUGCUCUCAUGACUCCCAUCAGAGCAGAACACUUAAUAUAAAACUCUGGUUUAAUUCCACCAGAAUAAGUUGUUUUAAUAAAUGUGAGGCAAUUGUUUCACUCAAAGUUUAGCUUUAACAAAUCUGACUCAGUAAAUGCUGUCAGACUGAAGAAGGUGGGGGGACAGGGGUAAGGACUCUUUCCAGUUUCCUGGGCCUUUAUCCAAGCUAAGAAAACCUACAUUUGUCACCAACACCACAACCCAGACCACAUCAGCAAGAUGUUCCUUGUAAAUGUUGUGGCAGCCCCCAGUCAGAGGCAGCAAGUUGUGGCCAUACCACUUCAGAGAGCAGUUGGAUAUCUAAGAAAUGUGACUUGCUCUGCUGAAUGACAGAGAGGACUUGUCCAAGCACAGAUGAAAAGGAGGAGGUGUUUAUCCUUGCCUGGUCAAUAUUUGUUUUGAUUGUGAAAAUGCUAAGUUUGAAUCAUCAGGCAAAACCUCUGCCAAAGAGCUUGGAGAUUGUAACAUGAAGUGACCAUUUACCUCAAGGCAGAGAAGUACCUGAGUGGCUCUGCUUAUCAGUCCAGCCUGAAAUGUGCUGGCCAGGGCAGAAUGAUGUGGCACCAAGGUGACCAAAGCCUGGGCUAUCUUUGGUAUCUGCCCCUGGGAGCUCUGGCCAGGGCAUUUUCCACAGCCCUUUUUUGUAGUCCUGCCACCCUGAAGGGGAACGUUCAGGGCUGCCAGCAAUAAAUAACUGCAGAUAUAACUGCAGAUCAGAGCUGCAGAAUAGCUGCAGAUAUCAGAGCUGUGCACAGGAACUUCUGCCCUUGUCUCUGCUGCUGCUGCAGCUCACCAUGCCUGAACACUGCCCGAGUUGCUCUGGGUGACCAGAGCCCAGUGGAGCUGCACUGUCCCUUGGGACAGGACCCAAAAGGUCCCUCCAGCCUCCUGUGCCACCCUCAGCAGUGGCCAGGAGCAGUCACCCACAGGAUGGAACAGGACAAGUGUGUGAUGCUUGUCUUUUCUCUUCCCCUGCCUGCAGUCUCUCCUAGGGUUGCCUCAGGAGUGGCUGUUGCUCUGAAAGAGACAAAGUACAGGCACCAGCAGGAGUGUAAUGAACCUUUCCCUCACCUGGAAUGGGGACAAUGGAUAUAAAGCAGCACAAAGGUAAUGCCCUGGACUUCUAGAAGACUCUCUUUGCUUGUUGUGCCUGGGAAACAUAGACAAGACUCUUGGGCCUGGGACAGCAAAGCUUCUCUAUCUGCCACCCACACUGCAGUGCUAACCCCUCCUGAUGCUCUGCCAUGGUGUACCUGGGUACACAUGAUGCUUCAUUCAACUCAUCAGUUCAGCCUGUGGAUAAAAAUAUCAACCAUGAGGUCAACUAUUAUACUAGUCAAUGAUCUCAAGACAGAAGGAGAAUAAAGUAACUUUAGAAAGUAAUUUAAGUUGUACUUAUUUAAAGAAUUAUGCAAGCUUGCCAUACAUACCUCCAUCUUUUCUGAAAUUUUACACCUUUGAAUGUGUUAUUAAUACAAACUAUUACAGUAGAACACAA